Pteronotus mesoamericanus is the source of this 708-nucleotide long non-coding RNA. RefSeq lists it as uncharacterized. Lineage: Eukaryota; Metazoa; Chordata; Mammalia; Chiroptera; Mormoopidae. The transcript has 5 exons. The record is from RefSeq and is a predicted model, not a curated record.
UCUAUUUAUUACAGCGUGGACACACAUGAACUACCACUGAGCUUAAAAACCAGCAUGACCAGCACUUCAGCGGCCCACCACCGCUCUCAGUCACUGCACUGUUUUUCCUCCCAGGUGACCACCCCCGUGAAUUUAACCCCACAGGCUAAUUCUGCCUAUUUCAGAACUUAAUGCAAAUGGAAUCAUAGGGAAAAGCCACCGAGCGGGCUGCUAAGCCUCCUGCAUUGUGUUCCUCCUGGUUAAGACAGCCCUGAUAUUUUGGAAUUCCUGGUAUAUUUUGACAAAUGCAUUGAGACCAGCCCUGUCCAGUUGGAGCUGUGCAGACCAAACGCAUCAAUGUAGAGGUAACUAAGAUUAAAUGGGGCCAUUAGGAUGGGCCUUAAUCCAAUAUGACCAAUGUCCUUAUAAGGAAAGGAACUUUGCGUGUGGAGGGAAGACACUCUGAAGACGCAGGGAGAAGAUGGCCACCUACAAGCCAAGGAGAGAGAUCUCAGAAAGAACCAACCCACCUGACACCUUGAUCUUGGACUUCUGGCCUCCAGAAAUGUUCUUCUCAACAAAAGGGCUUGAAAAAUUCUAAGUUUGCAUCAAGUUCACAUAAGCAAGAAGAACAAUUGGCUAAACUCUUUGAUGACAUUCUCCUGCAAGUGUAUCCCAGUGUUCCGUCUGAUGAGGCAAGAAAAGCAGAAAAAUCAUUUACAAAGAGUG